UACGUAGGGUCCGAGCGUUGUCCGGAUUUAUUGGGCGUAAAGAGCUCGUAGGCGGCUCAGUAAGUCAGAUGAGAAAACUCAGGGCUCAACCCGGAGACGCCAUCUGAUACUGCUGUGGCUUGAGUCUGGUAGGGGAUCACGGAAUUCCUGGUGUAGCGGUGAAAUGCGCAGAUAUCAGGAGGAACACCGAUGGCGAAGGCAGUGAUCUGGGCCAGUACUGACGCUGAGGAGCGAAAGCGUGGGUAGCAAACAGG
RNAcentral lists this ribosomal RNA (254 nucleotides) under uncultured bacterium. Its description in RNAcentral is "partial 16S ribosomal RNA". It matches the Rfam family "Bacterial small subunit ribosomal RNA", at positions 524 to 776 of the family's 1533-position model. The record is from RNAcentral.